AGCAGUGUGCAGCCUAUGGUGCAAUUAUGUGGGUUUGUUUUCAAUUUGUAGCGCCUAGCUACAUCCUUAAGUGCUUGUAAUAGUGCUAGUAAAAGUGCUGGUUUUAAUAGAAUAACGUUAUAUUCAUCAACGUCAUUGUCAAAGUGCGUGUGUUGUUAUCAGGGAGAUUCGAGUGGAAUCCGCAUCAGUGAGCACCUGUUAAGUAUUAUCGGAGCUAGCUAGCUUGCUAUUGCUACAGAGUGUUGCUUCAGCUUGCAUUUAGCUUUAUUAUGGCAAUUUAGCUCGCGUUAACAUAACGCUAGCGCACAUUCAGCACUGAGGACUGGAACCUGGACACUGACCAUUUAUCCAGAUAGCGCUCUAUGCUACCAGGAAUAGCAUAGUAGCACCUCUGGCACCUGGAAACCCGACAGCGCUCCGUGUGACCCGAAAAGCACGGAAGCGCCUCUAGCAACAAGGGAGAAAAUCUGCAUCGUUCACAAAUAUCAGAAGGUCAGGGUGUGUGUUCCUGUCAGCCAGCGAGACAAGCAAGCCAUUCCUGCCUUGAGGAGAGGGCGGGCAGGCCCCAUUCCCCUGCCGGCCAAAUCCCACCAAUUGAAGCACUCUGUGGAACUGAAAAACCUGUAUGCUCAAAUUAUGACACACAACAGAGAAAACCACACUCCCUCAAGAUCUCAGAGAGGAAAGUGAAUAAUAAAAAGAUUUGUCCUGUCCUCCAGUUGCACGUCUUUGCGAAUCUGGCAUAAUCGAGUGUUCCCUGGGGGUCGGUACCAGGUGUUUCCAAAUGUUGGUCGUGGGUGCGGGAGUUGAAGAAGGCUGCACCUGAUCUUCGCUGAUGCGCUGUCUGGUGAAUCAGGGACAUCUUACUCAGUGUAGAUGUGGCCAGAGCAUCAGAACUUGCACAUCCCCCUAUGGCGCCCCCAGAUCUAGCACUGGAAGACCGAAGCCCCCAGGCCCUCCAAUGCUCCUUCACACCUGGUCUGGCACAGGAUCUGGCUGCCCAGAGGGCCAAGAUUAAUACCUGAAACCUUGAAAACUGAAGCCUAUGAAGAUAGUAUUCUAAAUACACUCCUGAGUUUUAAGAAUGUCUAUUUGUUAAAUGACAGAAGUACAUGAUCAAGCCCUGACCAUUAGAUCUAUAUAGUGUGUAUCAGCUCAACUGAUAACUCUCAUAUUGUAUAUACCUGCCCUCCUGUGGUGUAAUUGCACCAUUGCAAUAUUCAGCUUGUGACUGUAAAUUUAAACUUUUAUGUUUUCUAUGAUUAUUUUAAAGGACAUCAUGUUGCAGUAUGGGCCAGGCAGGACCAACUGUUUUAUAUCUGUGUGUAUAAAUGGAAGACAUUCAAUUUAAAUAAUAUAGUUAAUACAACAUCACCCUCCUCAAUGCUACAACAUACUGUAGCAGCAACAUUGUGAGAAUGUUACACAUGAUAAUUGGUGAAAAUAGUGAGAGUAAAUAAAGAAAUAGUCAUCAGUGUUGAUAAUACUGCUCUGAAAUGCAGCAAGUCAUUAAAUUUGAAUGUCUGUUUCUAUCAGCCAAUAAAUAUGCCUUCCCUGGCCUAGCACUUA
Molecule: long non-coding RNA, 1569 nt
Organism: Anguilla rostrata (American eel)
Lineage: Eukaryota; Metazoa; Chordata; Actinopteri; Anguilliformes; Anguillidae
Exons: 7
Source: RefSeq, a predicted model, not a curated record